GACGUAGGGCGCGAGCGUGUCCGGAUUUAUUGGGCGUGAAAGAGCUCGUAGGCGGCUUGUCACGUCGAAUGUGAAAACUUGGGGCUCAACUCCAAGCUUGCAUUCGAUACGGGCAGGCUAGAGUUCGGUAGGGGAGACUGGAAUUCCUGGUGGUAGCGGUGAAAUGCGCAGAUAUCAAGGAGGAACACCGGUGGCGAAGGCGG
Molecule: ribosomal RNA, 203 nt
Filed under: uncultured bacterium
Lineage: Bacteria
Description: partial 16S ribosomal RNA
Rfam family: Bacterial small subunit ribosomal RNA
Source: RNAcentral